UCAUAUUACAAGCCAGGGGCCUCAAGGGCUUGAAUACAAAAGCUCGAUACACAAGCGAGUCAGCGAAAGCAACAAUAUCUGAGUACAGACAUGAGUUAAACAAGUUUAGCCUUAAGAAGGCUAGCACAAACAUCAACGAUCGAAGAGGCAAGGCCUCCUACCUGGGACCUCCUAACUACUCCUGGUCGUCGGCGGUCUUCACGUAGCAGCAUCCAUCGGAGAUGGCAUCUAGCUCCAGGGAUCCACCAUCUGGUUGCAUCAACCGGGAAGAAGAAAGAAGGAGGAAAAGGGGAAGCAAAGCAACCGUGAGUACUCAUCCAAAGUACUCGCAAGCAUCAGAUCUAUACUAAGUAUGCACUGGUAUCAAAUGGAAGGUUUGUAUAUGUGGACUGAACUGCAGAAUGCCAGAAUAGAGGGGAAGGCCUUACCUAUUGAAGACUAGCAUCUUCAAGCAGCUCCGAGCAUCUUGCAGCAUAUAGAAGAGUAAAGAAUAGCAGUUUGUAUUUAACAAGCAUGUUGUAACAUUAAUGCCUAGAGAUCCUUCCUCGACUCCCUGCGAGAAAUCAAUCCCGGAG
RNAcentral lists this long non-coding RNA (575 nucleotides) under Triticum aestivum (bread wheat). RNAcentral describes it as "long non-coding RNA (TAES_LNC012065)". Lineage: Eukaryota; Viridiplantae; Streptophyta; Magnoliopsida; Poales; Poaceae. The record is from RNAcentral.